UCGGGAAUUUUGGGCAAUGGGCGAAAGCCUGACCCAGCAACGCCGCGUGAAGGAUGAAGUUUCUCGGAAUGUAAACUUCGUAAGAAUGGGAAGAAUAAAUGACGGUACCAUUUGUAAGGUCCGGCUAACUACGUGCCAGCAGCCGCGGUAAUACGUAGGGACCAAGCGUUGUUCGGAUUUACUGGGCGUAAAGGGAGCGUAGGCGGCAAUUCAAGUCAGUUGUGAAAUCUUCGAGCUUAACUCGGAACGGUCAACUGAUACUGCUUUGCUAGAGUACAGAAGGGGCAAUCGGAAUUCUUGGUGUAGCGGUGAAAUGCGUAGAUAUCAAGAGGAACACCUGAGGUGAAGACGGGUUGCUGGGCUGAUACUGACGCUGAGGCUCGAAAGCUAGGGGAGCAAACGG
Molecule: ribosomal RNA, 403 nt
Filed under: uncultured bacterium
Lineage: Bacteria
Description: bacterial SSU rRNA
Rfam family: Bacterial small subunit ribosomal RNA
Source: RNAcentral